Molecule: microRNA precursor, 121 nt
Filed under: Sorghum bicolor (sorghum)
Lineage: Eukaryota; Viridiplantae; Streptophyta; Magnoliopsida; Poales; Poaceae
Description: miR156i stem-loop (sbi-MIR156i)
Gene: sbi-MIR156i
Source: miRBase by way of RNAcentral
ACUGACAGAAGAGAGUGAGCACACAGCGGGCAGACUGCAUCGAUCUGAACCGAGACGACGCAAGUAGGAAUGAUGAUGAUGAUGCAGCUGCUGCUGCGUGCUCACUUCUCUCUCUGUCAGA